Molecule: long non-coding RNA, 871 nt
Organism: Clupea harengus (Atlantic herring)
Lineage: Eukaryota; Metazoa; Chordata; Actinopteri; Clupeiformes; Clupeidae
Source: Ensembl
CCGUGUGGCGCUGGAGUGGGAGAGCGCCUCUUCUGAUUGGCCUACCGUGUGGUGCUGGAGUGGGAGAGCGCCUCCUCUGAUUGGCCUACCGUGUGGCGCUGGAGUGGGAGAGCACCUCCUCUCGGUCACUGACUACAGGCACUGAGUAGAAGGAUGGCCCAUGUUGACAAAUCCUGAAGUAGAAUACUGUGGAGUUUAAACUACUUGACCAUAUCCAUGUAGAAGUCCAAGGGCCUAAACAUUGUUCAUACACUGGAUGACAUUAUUUCCAGGAUUAAAGAAACCUUCAGAGCUGUUGUCAAGACCCAUUGAAGAAGAGUUUCAGGAGCAAUGAGGCCAGAAUCCACUGCAUCUCCGCCUCGAGGUAAUUGUGUCGGAAUAGCUCACCGGAAGAGGAAGAAUUCCCGCGGAGCGUGAGCAGAUGGCUUUCCGGGUGCGAGUGUUCAUGCCUGCGCUCUCCUCGUAUAUGGACACUGAUUGGCAUCCCAUGGACAUCAGUGGGUCAAAAUCAACUCUCCAUUCAUAUACCAGAGCAUUGAUUCCUGGCUCUUGGAGCUCCCCCUGGUUUUAAAUCUCCGUCUUGUUUAGCUCUGUGCUCCCAAUCACUUCCCCUGGUGAAUGAUGGUGACAGUGUUCAGGAUGUCAGCUGUAUUGCCAAGCCCCUGACUGUUUGGGACUUCUUUUUUUUUUAAAGAACAGCAAGGCGUUGGGUUACUUGUGAUAUUUUACAGCACAGCUUCUAUGCUUGCUACUGUGGCGAUCAUUAUGUUGGCAAAUUACAAAUGUACACAUCUGUUUUGAUCUUUAAAUGCUUGGUGAUGUACUGUUCAAAUAUGCAUAUCUUUUCAGCUAUAAAGACCUUAAAGUGUCA